ACGACAACAGGAAAUUUAUGUCACUUCCGGUUGCCAUCUUGAUUCGUACUAUACCUGUACCAAAUAAAAACGUUAUUAGCCAAAGAAAAACUUUUUCAUUUGCGGAAUGAAAAAUAUAACAAGUUCAGAGUUUUGUUUAAAAAGCUGUGUUUGAAAAUGUUCCUGAAAAACACAAUCAGCUAGAGGCCGACUUUAGUGACCUACAUCCAACUGACUUCAACCCUUCCACCAUUUGUGAGGAUUUGAUGAACUUUCCAACCAGCUGACCGUGAUAAAACAUUUUUUUUAACUACAGUACCUGGCGCUGGGAAGUCCAGCUUGGCCCGCCGCAGCUCUGUCAUGGACGCCUGCAGCUGCUCGAUCACAAAGUCGUCCUCCAGGAAGAAAUCUUUGGCUAACGUGACCUGCAGGAACUCCACCAGCUCCUCCAUGGACAGCUUCAACAGAACCAGCAGAUCAUCACCGAUUGGAAACUAAACUCUGGACUUCCAGCGACGUUGGUUCUGAUCCUCUAGAGUUUGGACCGCUGAGCAACGGUCCGGUUCUGGUUCUCCUCAGUCCAGUAAGGUCUGGAUCGCGGCGCUCUGUCCCACACUGCUGCACUGUGAUUACGGCUGACCAGAACGUUUCCUGCCAGCGUGCGCCAGCCUAUAUAUAAAACUCCAACACUGUGCUGUUUAUGAGGAGCAGAAACCACAGACACUCUGAGCUGCUGUGGACCGGACUAACCCAAACACAGCAGGAGGCGGAGGGAGGUUCUUACUGGACAAAUCCGAAACGGUCGAUGACUUUGUAGAGAUGGAAGUUGGUGUCCUCCCAGGGCUCCACGGUGGCCUCUUUACCCUGGAGGACAGGAAAACAAACAUCAGGAGCUGAAAACAAGCUGUUAACACAGCAACAGUUUCAGUUUAAAAACCAGUUUUGCUGCUAAAUUAUUGACUAAAUAGAAAUAUAAGAUGAACAACAAAGAUAUUUAUAAUCUCAUCUGUUGUUCAACUAUCAGACUGGAGGAAAGUGUUUCAAGAAAUCCUGAUCAUUCAGGGAGCUUCUUUAGAAAUGUAGAUGCUAACAUUAGCGUUAGCAGCAUGUUUAUCUUCACUGAUGGGCAGAUAACAAAUGUAACCAGAUACAUUUAUUUGAGUAAAUUUAUUCCGAAGUAUCUCCAGUCUUACUUGAGUAAAAUUUCUGACUUUUCUACCCAUUGACACUGAUUUUGACACAUUUUGUUUUACCUGAUUUUUAGUUUUUUGUUAUAUGAACGAUUAUUUUGGUCCUUAAAAUACCAAAAAUUUCAAAUAUGACAUCAUUGAUAAUGUGAUCAGUUGCUCGGUAUUUGAGUAGAAUUUUUACCAAAUAAUUUUUUACUUGAGGAAAGAUAUUUUGAAGCAGUGCUACUCCUCUGCUGCUAGGCGAACUCCUUUUAGCACAACAAUCAGAUCGAUUGAACGACUUGUGCGUCUAAUUUACCAGCGCACCAGAAACGAGAUUAAAAAGUUCCCACUAAAGACAUUAUAAAUCUCACAUUUAGCAUUAUUUGCUGCAAUUUAAACUUUUUUUUUUCUCUUGAGGGAGGAAACAUUCCUGGAAGAGUUUUGCUGCUGAUGCAAUCUGCUGGAAUUCUUAAGAAAACAUUUUAUUAAUUGGAAUGUAUAGAAUUAAUGUCAAAUAUGUUGUUAUGGAAAUUAAUAUAGAUGUAAUUUUCUUAUUUUGUGUCAUAUAUACUACAAUGCUACUGCUUACAUUCUGUAGAGCUGCUAUGCUCCAACUACAAAAUUCAUCUGUUCAUCAGAGGACCAGUGAAUAACGGACUUUAAUGAAGGCUGUGACAGUUAAGUUGACAUUACAAUGUUCUGUUUGGGUCAAUAUGAUACUGUCAUAAUGCUGUCAUGAACGAGACGACCCAAGCAAUAAUUUACCAUUGUAUUAUUAAUUCUGCUAUGCUGUGUGUUAUUAAAGCUAAUUGUUGUCUGUGAGUAACUUUUAAACUCAUAGAAUAGUAUGACGUCAAAAAUCUAAAAACAUUUAGUCAUAGUAUAGUAUGACGUCCGAAACGUGAAAAAUUUAGUCAUAGUAUAGUAUGACGUCCGAAACGU
Long non-coding RNA from Gambusia affinis (western mosquitofish), 2093 nucleotides. RefSeq lists it as uncharacterized. The record is from RefSeq and is a predicted model, not a curated record. NCBI's taxonomy places the organism in Eukaryota, Metazoa, Chordata, Actinopteri, Cyprinodontiformes, Poeciliidae. The transcript has 5 exons.